Patella vulgata (common limpet) is the source of this 474-nucleotide long non-coding RNA. RefSeq lists it as uncharacterized. The transcript has 2 exons. Lineage: Eukaryota; Metazoa; Mollusca; Gastropoda; Patellidae. The record is from RefSeq and is a predicted model, not a curated record.
GUAGAUUAUAGGUCUGUCAUGGCGGCCAUAUUGAAAUAAAUAUAAAGUCUGAACUUGUCAAUAGGCCUAUUCAGUGGGAAUUUUGAAAUAUCUAAUUUAAAUAACAACAAAAGUUUGUAUUGAGAAUUGAAGUAGAAACCAACCAUGUGAUCAGGAAACUUUUUCCAAGCAAUGUGUGACUCAGGUUUAUAUAUAUCUGGCAGACAUUUAUUACCUUCCAACAAAUAACUAGAAUAAUUGAUUCAAAUUUCAUUCACGUUUCUAAAGGCCAAUUGAUAUAUUUAACGAUUGAUGUACACUGGUUAAACAGAGUGUAAAAUCAUGUGACUUAGAGUAUUAACUGCCACACUUACUCCAUCUUGAAUAAUGUUGCAGAGGGAACAUGAUGGUUAACCAUCGAAAAACUUUUAAUUAGUUGGUGUUAAAAUUGUUUUUAUAUUUUCCAUAUAAAUAAAGUUGGUUAUUAUGAACAUU